ACGGCUCAGUAACACGUCAAUAAUCUGCCCUUAGGUUCAGGAUAACCUUGGGAAACUGAGGCUAAUACUGAAUAGGGGAAAGAAUUGGAACAUUCUUUCUUUAAAACAUUAGGCCUAAGGAUGAGUUGGCGGUCGAUUAGGUAGUUGGUGGGGUAAAGGCCCACCAAGCCGAAGAUCGAUAGGGGUCUUGAGAGAGAUAGCCUCGAGAAGGGCACUGAGACACUGGCCCUAGCCCCACGGGGUGCAGCAGGCGCGAAAACUCUACGAUGCACGAAAGUGUGAUAGGGGGACCCUAAGUGCUUGGUUAUACCAGGCUUUUGCCAAGCGUAAAUAACUUGGCGAAUAAGUGGUGGGUAAGACGGGUGCCAGCCGCCGCGGUAACACCCGCGCCACAAGUGGUGUUCGUUUUUAUUGGGCCUAAAGCAUCCGUAGCCUGAUCGGAAAGUCCUUGGUGAAAUCCGGCAGCAAACUGUCGGGCUGGCCAGGGAUACUUUCGGUCUAGGGAAUGGAAGAGGUGCGGGGUACGCUGGAGGUAGGGGUAAAAUCCUUUAAUCUCCCGCGGACCACCUGUGGCGAAGGCGCCGCACUAGGACAUAUCCGACGGUGAGGGAUGAAAGCUAGGGGAGCGAUUGGGAUUAGAUACCCCAGUAGUCCUAGCUGUAAACGAUGCCCGUUUGGCGUUGCACGUCUUUAGUGGAUGUGCAGUGCCGGAGCGAAGGCGUUAAACGGGCCGCCUGGGGAGUACGGUCGCAAGACUGAAACUUAAAGGAAUUGGCGGGGGAGCAC
This 786-nucleotide ribosomal RNA is filed under the name uncultured euryarchaeote. RNAcentral describes it as "bacterial SSU rRNA". It matches the Rfam family "Archaeal small subunit ribosomal RNA", at positions 85 to 879 of the family's 1478-position model. Lineage: Archaea; Methanobacteriati; Methanobacteriota. The record is from RNAcentral.